RNAcentral lists this ribosomal RNA (32 nucleotides) under Trichomonas tenax. Its description in RNAcentral is "partial 28S ribosomal RNA". The record is from RNAcentral. Lineage: Eukaryota; Parabasalia; Trichomonadida; Trichomonadidae. RNAcentral also lists the same sequence under 2 other names.
UACGUUGUCUGCUAUACGCAGGAAGACCCGCU